RNAcentral lists this long non-coding RNA (208 nucleotides) under Ananas comosus (pineapple). RNAcentral describes it as "long non-coding RNA (ACOM_LNC043886)". The record is from RNAcentral. Lineage: Eukaryota; Viridiplantae; Streptophyta; Magnoliopsida; Poales; Bromeliaceae.
AGUGCCUAGUUAGUUAGCGGCUUCCAUUUGCAUUAGAGUGCCCGUAUACUUGAGAGAUGUUGAUGUAUAUAUUGGAGAGUCGCAUAUGUAUUUUGGAGAUGGAUUUGUAAAACUUUGUAUAUAUAUAUUUUGGAGAUGUAAAUGUAAAUUUGAUGUAAAUGUUGGAUGAAAUGUAAUAGUUAGAUAUAUCUCUCUCUUGUUCACUUGU